GACCUGCGGGCCCUGGCGCCCGGGCCGGCAACUCCCGGGGAGCUCGGCCCGCGCCGGGAACUCGCCCAGCAGCCUGUGUUUCUCGAGUGUGGGGAGCCGGCUCCCGGGCGUCCCUCCCACCGGCUGCGGGGGCCCGGGACUGGGCGGUAGUGGAGGCAGGUCCUUGGACUGCAGGCUGAGGCUUUUUCCCCCCACGAGCGGUUUGGGCCCUCCAGGAGUCCCUGCGCGGGGGUCACGUGGAUUACGCUAGCGGUUCCCCUGGCGCCUCGACCCUCCUUUGAAGAGUCAUUCUAGAAGGCUGUAUUGCGAUACUGUUUGUACCUGUCACUGUGAGCCCUGAAAAGAGAAGAAAACGCGAGUGCCUGGCCUGAGGGUGCUCCGUCCCGUGGGUAGCCAGGGCACUCCACUUCAGCAUUCUCCUGUGGUGUAACAUUACCUGCCACUCAUGCUGGUUCCCAUGCGCCAAGCUAAUUUCAACAACGGGUGAAGUGGGUAUCUCCAUGUGAUGGCUGAGGAGACAGAUUCUGGGUGUUGCUACUAAGCCUCAUGGAGGCAGCCAUGACAGAGCAGAGCCUUCUGUCCUCCUGUUCCAGGUCAGCAGCCUCUCCCAAGGCAGGACUCCAUGGGCCAGCCUCUUUCCUCCCCCACCCUGCUUCUUCAGGCCAGGUCUUAUUUGGUCUGACAAUAAGUCUGAGAGAGGACUCCUCUUGUUGGGGGCUACCUUCAACACCAGACUCUCCAGAGUACAUCUUUGCAGCUCUAUAAACUUCUGGUAUUUGUUCACAUUGUCUAAUAAUUUCCUGGAAAUAGACUUAGUAUUUUUAGUUAUAAGAAGAGUUGAAAAAUAAUAUUGCUGUUCUAGAAGAAGGCAUUUAUUUAUUUUGCAUUUGUACUUCACCCAGAGGCUGGCUGUGCAGACAAAUCUCUCUGCUUGGGAAGGACAGGGCUCUCUAAAGCAACUCUAGGGAUGCAGCUGUCUACAAGUCACACUGAAAAUGAAAAGUAUGCUUAUGAGGUCAUAAGAAAGUCUUGUCAUAAGUUGUAAUUUUGUGUGUGUAUUUAAAAGGUAUUUGGUGACCAACCUUUUCUGUCACACACACGCACACACACACUAUUGCCUGAUGUCCAGGCUUAAACUGAGACUGAACUAUCACCUCUCUGUUACGCAUGUGCAAACACACUGAAACCUCAUUGUCUACACUCAGUGUGGCACUUCACCUGAUACCACCAUCUGACACCAGGCUGCAAGUCAUAGGUUGCAGUCAGGUACAUACACCCCUUUGCAAGAAGGCAUUCUCAAAACCUUCCACUAGAGGCACGUGUGAGCACCUUUGCUAGAAAGCUUUGGUUGGCUAGCCUUCCAGAGCAGAAAAAACUGGGAAUGGCCUGAACCCAAAAUUUACAUAAAAGUAAAUACAAAUAAUGAAUGAUUCCCUACUCUUCAGAGACAUGCAAAAUAGGAAAGAGAAAACUCUAUCAAAUUAGCAAACUACAUGAGGAUGAUGAACAUGAUCGUAGGAACUCAAUUACACACUGCCUGUGGAACUGUAAAGUUGUACAAACCUUUCAGCAAACAAUUUGGCAAAACAGAGCUUGUAUCUUAGUGUCCGUUCCCUUGAAUCCUUUCAUUCUAAGAUUCUAUUUUAUGGAAAUAACCAGAAAUAUGAGCAAAUAUUUAUGUUCAAAAUGUUUGCUGCAGUUUUUUUUUAAGAAGCAAAAAAAAAAAAAAAAAUAGAAACAUUCUAAAUGCUCGGGAUUAAAUAUAUUAUUCUCAUGAUGGAAUAUUUUGCAAUCACUAAAGUGAGGUCCGUGAGCAGUUUUAAUAACUUGAGAAAAUCUUAAAGUUAAGAGAAAGUUUCAGAUAGAAAAUUACAUACAGUAUUUUCUCAAUAAUUCAAUGUACUAAACAUGCAAAAGACUGGAAGAAAAAACAAUAAAAUGUCAAUUGAUUACUCUGGGUGAAAUUAUGGGUGGUUUUUAUUUUGUUAUUUAUAUUGUAUUUUUCUAUGUUUUCCAAAUUUUUCAGCCUGAGCAAUUUCCAAAGUGCUGAGUUGAGACAGCUGAGGAGCACAAUUAGUGUAAAAGAAAGACUACAGAUGGAACAGUGCAUAUCAUUUGAAGCAUGAUUAUAGGAAUAGACAUCAAGAAUUUAAAGCAAGCAUAAUACAUAUAUCAAAGAGGGAGGGGACUUAUUAGUAACAUUAAGCAAGAGAAAGAAAUAAUUGUUUUAAACCUAGUGGAAACAUUAAGUAUGAAGAAAGUAAUAAA
This is a long non-coding RNA of Gorilla gorilla gorilla (western lowland gorilla), 2268 nucleotides long. RefSeq lists it as uncharacterized. The record is from RefSeq and is a predicted model, not a curated record. Lineage: Eukaryota; Metazoa; Chordata; Mammalia; Primates; Hominidae. The transcript is spliced from 4 exons.